UACAAGGUAGCUUAGCAUUUAAAGCCCCCCACCUUCUAUGGGUAGAAGGCGAAAUCGCCCCUUGUCA
This 67-nucleotide transfer RNA is filed under the name Saemundssonia lari. RNAcentral's name for it is "tRNA-Glu". Lineage: Eukaryota; Metazoa; Arthropoda; Insecta; Psocodea; Philopteridae. The record is from RNAcentral.